Molecule: long non-coding RNA, 594 nt
Organism: Melanotaenia boesemani (Boeseman's rainbowfish)
Lineage: Eukaryota; Metazoa; Chordata; Actinopteri; Atheriniformes; Melanotaeniidae
Exons: 3
Source: RefSeq, a predicted model, not a curated record
UGUGACGUAUGAUAUGAAGUGCUUUGGGUAUCAUCCCAGUUUUCAUCACCUUGACUCAACUAAACCGUGAGCAGGACGGAUCAGAACCCUGUCCUCCCAGCGUGUCUGGACUUCUGUCCAGUUUCCAGCGGAGCUGUGGAAUCCCAGGCUGAGCCCACACCUGCGGCUGAUAGGCUGAUUCUGGAGUACAAAGGCGGUGAUUUACGGCCCCGAUGGGCUGCAGGCCCGGCAACAGCUGCAGAGCGGCAGGAAGAGGAAGCUGUUCAUCACGCAGUCUGCAUCUCAGCGCUUCUUAUGCAGGCUGAUCAUCCACAUUCACCUCCGUGACAGAUUAGUUCCUGAAGGCGAUGGAGAGCCUUGAUGUCAGGAAGCUGUGUCAUCCUCCAUCACUGGAAAGGAGACGUCGUUCUGCGGUGAGCUCGUACAUCAGAGACGAAGCGAGGAACUGCAUCUGGACUGUGGAGUUUCAGACUGGCGAACAUGUGACGUUCAGUUCGGAUGCUUUCAGCGUUCAGAGGCGAGCUCGUGAUGGUCGUUACGUAACCACAGAGGCCGUCACGCUCCAACACUGUGCGUUGUGGUGAGUGGCUUUUC